UACGUAGGGUGCGAGCGUUAAUCGGAAUUACUGGGCGUAAAGCGUGCGCAGGCGGUUUUUCAAGUCUGAUGUGAAAGCCCCGGGCUUAACCUGGGAACUGCGUUGGAAACUGAAAGACUAGAGUGCGGCAGAGGGGGGUAGAAUUCCACGUGUAGCAGUGAAAUGCGUAGAUAUGUGGAGGAACACCAGUGGCGAAGGCGGCUUCCUGGACUAAAACUGACACUGAGGCACGAAAGCGUGGGUAGCAAACAGG
This 253-nucleotide ribosomal RNA is filed under the name uncultured bacterium. RNAcentral describes it as "partial 16S ribosomal RNA". It matches the Rfam family "Bacterial small subunit ribosomal RNA", at positions 524 to 776 of the family's 1533-position model. The record is from RNAcentral.